RNAcentral lists this ribosomal RNA (473 nucleotides) under uncultured bacterium. RNAcentral's name for it is "partial 16S ribosomal RNA". It matches the Rfam family "Bacterial small subunit ribosomal RNA", at positions 28 to 507 of the family's 1533-position model. The record is from RNAcentral.
GAUGAACGCUAGCGGCAGGCCUAAUACAUGCAAGUCGAACGGGUGGUCGCAAGACCACUAGUGGCGCACGGGUGCGUAACGCGUAACCAACCUGCCCCGAUCUGGGGGAUAGCCCGCCGAAAGGCGGAUUAAUACCGCAUUUACCCGCAGCCUGGCAUCAGGCAACGGGGAAAGAUUUAUUGGAACGGGAUGGGGUUGCGUGACAUUAGCUAGUUGGCGGGGGAAGGGUCCACCAAGGCGACGAUGUCUAGGGGACCUGAGAGUGUGAUCCCCCACACUGGCACUGAGAAACGGGCCAGACUCCUACGGGAGGCAGCAGUAGGGAAUAUAAGGCAAUGGGCGAGAGCCUGACCCGGCCAUGCCGCGUGCAGGAUGAAGGCCUUCUGGGUUGUAAACGGCUUGUCUCAAGGAAGAAAAAGACCUUGCGAGGUACACUGACGGUACCUGAGGAAUAAGCACCGGCUAACUCCGUG